RNAcentral lists this small nuclear RNA (107 nucleotides) under Canis lupus familiaris (dog). RNAcentral also lists the same sequence under 1 other name. The record is from RNAcentral. Lineage: Eukaryota; Metazoa; Chordata; Mammalia; Carnivora; Canidae.
CUGCUCACUUCAGCAGCACAUAUACUAAAAUUGGAACGAUACAGAAAAGAUUAGCAUAGCCCCUGUGCAAGGAUGACACGCAAAUUCAUGAAGCAUUCCAUAUUUUU